GGCUCCAUAGUGUAGUGGUUAGCAUGUCUGCUUUACACACAGAAGGGUUCACGCCCCACAUGGAGCCA
RNAcentral lists this transfer RNA (68 nucleotides) under Pteropus alecto (black flying fox). It matches the Rfam family "tRNA". Rfam says of the family: Transfer RNA (tRNA) molecules are approximately 80 nucleotides in length. Their secondary structure includes four short double-helical elements and three loops (D, anti-codon, and T loops). Lineage: Eukaryota; Metazoa; Chordata; Mammalia; Chiroptera; Pteropodidae. The record is from Rfam by way of RNAcentral.